Molecule: long non-coding RNA, 1167 nt
Filed under: Homo sapiens (human)
Lineage: Eukaryota; Metazoa; Chordata; Mammalia; Primates; Hominidae
Description: HSALNT0030072
Source: RNAcentral
CUUUUACAGAUAUUUGGAUUUUAUUUUGGCAGACAGUUUAGCUACUUUUAGACCAACUUGAUUCUUUUGAGGUUUGUUUUUAGCACAGGUCUGCAGUAGCCUCAGUCUAGCCCUAAUACUUCUGGGGUCUUUUCUGAAUGCCCUGCUUGUUCUGAGAUUUCUACACCACAAUUGAAAGUGAAUUCAAAAAAGCUGGAGAGGAGACGCAUCAGGUCAGAAGGGAUUUGCUGCUCUGAACUGCCAGUUACACUGCACAAAAGUUUAGAGCUCCGCCAAUCACAUAUUCCAGACUGUUUUUGCCAGAUGACUUCCUACUGGGUUCUGCUAAUUUCUGUCAUUGGAAGAAGACUGGAAGGUGGUUUCCUGAGAAGCUAAGGGAAGAGAAGACUUAGACAUUACUAGAACCCAUUCCUCAAGACACUGUAUUCAGACAGAGUGCACCAAUUCCAGCUAUUUGUGCCUUAUACAUUUGUCUAAGGAGGUGUGGGAUACUCUUGGCACACUCGGAAUACUGCUUGCCAGACUGGGGAAGUGUUAGAGGAAGAUUACGACACUGCUACUCCAUGCCAAAACGUUACACUACGGCUCUGCAGACUGAAGAUUGCCUCACAAGCAGAAAUAUACUCUUUCCAACAAACACUGGUGGAAUGAAAAGGACAUUGGAUUCCUGCUUCCAGUUACUGCUUGCCCUUCCCUGACUUUGUGACCUGAGAUUUUACUUUCUACUCUUGUCAGUCAUAUCUGCAAGGCUGACAGUUACCAGGGGCUGUGGCCAGGCAUGAGGGAGAAUGUGUCAUUGCUGGCUGCGUUGGUCAUAGCAACGUGUCUGCCUCAGAACAGAUCCAGCAUGGAUGAGCAAACAGAAAAAUGUGUAAGAAGGCUUGUGACUGAAACAGACCAAGGGUGAGAGAACCUUUGUGGGAGCGCAGAAGUCCAGCAGAGAGACCCUAGCACUUUAUUUGGACCAAAAAAUAAAUAAUAAAUAAAUAAAUAAAUAAAUCCAAAACUAGAUGCAUUAAAGAAGACUUCUCCUAUGGAGAAUGCAGCAAGAAAAUACCAUCUUGAAGCAGAGAGCAGCGCUCAUCAGGCAUCAGUCCUUCUGGAGCCUUGAUCUUGGACCUCCCAGCUCCAAAAUAAUAAGUAAUAAAUUGUUAUUGCUUAUAAAUU